Molecule: ribosomal RNA, 460 nt
Filed under: uncultured Thermovirga sp.
Lineage: Bacteria; Thermotogati; Synergistota; Synergistia; Synergistales; Thermovirgaceae
Description: bacterial SSU rRNA
Rfam family: Bacterial small subunit ribosomal RNA
Source: RNAcentral
CGGUGGAGCAUGUGGUUUAAUUCGAUGCAAACCGAAGAACCUUACCUGGGUUUGACAUGUGCGUGUUACUGAGGUGAAAGCCGAGGGACCAUAUCUUCGGAUGUGGAGCGUACACAGGUGCUGCAUGGCUGUCGUCAGCUCGUGUCGUGAGAUGUUGGUUAAGUCCCGCAACGAGCGCAACCCCUGCAUUCAGUUGCCAACGGUAAGGCCGGGCACUCUGGAUGGACUGCCGGCGACAAGCCGGAGGAAGGUGGGAUGACGUCAAGUCAUCAUGGCCCUUAUGUCCAGGGCGACACACGUGCUACAAUGGCCGGCACAGCGGGAAGCGAGGGGGCGACCUUGAGCGGAUCCCUCAAAGCCGGUCUCAGUUCGGAUUGCAGUCUGCAACUCGACUGCAUGAAGUUGGAAUCGCUAGUAAUCGUGGAUCAGCCAAGCCGCGGUGAACACGUUCCCGGGCCUU